AAAGACCUCGCGCUAUUGGAGCGGCCGAUGUCCGAUUAGCUAGUUGGUGGGGUAAUGGCCUACCAAGGCUACGAUCGGUAGCUGGUCUGAGAGGAUGAUCAGCCACACUGGGACUGAGACACGGCCCAGACUCCUACGGGAGGCAGCAGUGGGGAAUUUUGGACAAUGGGCGCAAGCCUGAUCCAGCCAUGCCGCGUGAGUGAAGAAGGCCUUCGGGUUGUAAAGCUCUUUCGGCCGGAACGAAAUCGUCCGGGCUAAUACCCCGGAUGGAUGACGGUACCGGAAGAAGAAGCACCGGCUAACUACGUGCCAGCAGCCGCGGUAAUACGUAGGGUGCAGGCGUUAAUCGGAAUUACUGGGCGUAAAGCGUGCGCAGGCGGCUUCUCAAGUCAGAUGUGAAAUCCCCGGGCUUAACCUGGGAACU
This 424-nucleotide ribosomal RNA is filed under the name uncultured bacterium. Its description in RNAcentral is "bacterial SSU rRNA". It matches the Rfam family "Bacterial small subunit ribosomal RNA", at positions 202 to 622 of the family's 1533-position model. The record is from RNAcentral.